Molecule: ribosomal RNA, 575 nt
Filed under: uncultured fungus
Lineage: Eukaryota; Fungi
Description: eukaryotic LSU rRNA
Rfam family: 5.8S ribosomal RNA (bases 200-353)
Source: RNAcentral
AGUCGUAACAAGGUAUCCGUAGGUGAACCUGCGGAUGGAUCAUUAGAAAGUGCGAGGUGCUUCGGCACCGACACCCACUCUGUGCACUGUAACGUACCCUGCGGUCGAGGCUUAGGCUCGAGGCCGCGCUGGCUGUUCCUUACGGACGGCCGAACAAACACAUCAACCAACGUCUGAAGCUAAAGAAACAAUGUUAAACAACUUUUGACAACGGAUCUCUUGGCUCUCGCAACGAUGAAGAACGCAGCGAAAUGCGAUACGUAAUGUGAAUUGCAGAAUUCCGUGAAUCAUCGAAUCUUUGAACGCAUCUUGCGCUUCUUGGCAUUCCAGGAAGCAUGCCUGUUUGAGUCUCAGUUGACUCUCACUCUGUGGAUCUGGGCGACUCGCUCCGGCGACCGCCUGAAAUGCAUCAAGCUGGCCUCUAGAGUGCUCAACACUUGUGGCUCGAUAAUACUUCGGUUUAUUAGUCAUUUCCUGUUGGUGCGUCUCUAGCGGGCACGUGUAUCUGUUGGCGUACUUGUACCCGACACCUGACACUUGAGCUCAAAUCAGGCAAGACUACCCGCUGAACUUAA